Molecule: unclassified non-coding RNA, 334 nt
Filed under: Hevea brasiliensis (rubber tree)
Lineage: Eukaryota; Viridiplantae; Streptophyta; Magnoliopsida; Malpighiales; Euphorbiaceae
Source: RNAcentral
GCGAGAUCUUAUCCCCGUUCUGAACCUCAUCAGUACACCCCUGAACACAAUCAAUCGAUCCCCCAUACACCUUGAUCCCCGGAAUCAAGGUCUUCAUCUGAUCAUUCCCACCGGCAUGAUCCCAGUGUUUGUGAGUGGUAAGGAUCAUCUUGAUGUCGACGCCGAACUUGCCGGCCACCGCGAUGAUCUUCUCGGGCUCGACGGGGUCAACGGCGGCGGCGGUGCUUGAGGCCUCGUCAAUGAUCAGGUAGGCAUAGUUGUCGUCCAAGCAGGGGAUGUGGAGGAUCUUCAUCUCGCGAUUUCGGAUCGGGGACGGUGCUGCUCCGCCGAUAUA